CUGGGGGCGGGGCCAGGCCUAGGCCUCCGGGCUCCGCCUCGCCGGCUACGCAGGAGCGGGGCUGCGGCGCGGGCCGGGGCACCAUGGCGGCGGCGGCAGCGCCUGCUGCGGCGGUGGUUUCUCCUGAGGCGCCGGUGGCUACCCCGACGGCGGAGCCCGACACCGGGGACGAAGACAGUCGCGAGGUCCGAGUGCUGCAGAGCCUGCGGGGAAAGAUCUGUGAAGCGAAAAACUUACUGCCUUAUCUUGGACCCAAUAAAAUGAGAGAUUGUUUCUGUACCAUAAAUUUGGACCAAGAAGAAGUUUAUCGUACCCAAGUUGUGGAGAAGUCUUUAAGCCCCUUUUUCAGUGAAGAGUUUUACUUUGAGAUUCCAAGAACUUUCCAGUAUUUGUCUUUCUAUGUCUAUGAUAAGAAUGUUCUACAAAGAGACCUUCGGAUAGGGAAAGUAGCCAUCAAGAAAGAAGACCUGAGUAAUCACAGUGGCAGAGAAACUUGGUUUUCGUUACAGCCUGUGGAUUCCAACUCAGAAGUUCAGGGUAAAGUUCACCUUGAAUUAAAACUGAAUGAACUGAUCACAGAGAACGGGACUGUGUGCCAGCAGCUUGUUGUACACAUUAGGGCUUGCCAUGGCUUACCUCUCAUCAAUGGGCAGAGCUGUGACCCUUAUGCAACUGUUUCUCUUGUGGGCCCUUCCAGGAAUGACCAAAAGAAGACAAAAGUAAAGAAGAAAACAAGCAAUCCGCAGUUUAAUGAGAUCUUUUAUUUUGAGGUAACCAGAUCCAGUAGUUAUACCAGGAAGUCCCAGUUCCAGGUAGAAGAGGAGGACAUUGAAAAGUUAGAAAUUAGGAUCGACUUGUGGAACAAUGGAAACUUGGUCCAAGAUGUUUUCCUAGGUGAGAUUAAGGUUCCUGUGAAUGUUUUAAGAAGCGAUUCCUCUCAUCAAGCUUGGUACUUACUUCAGCCAAGAGACAAUGGAAACAAGUCAUCAAAAACUGAUGACCUGGGGUCUCUUCGAUUAAAUAUCUGUUAUACAGAAGACUAUGUGCUUCCCUCAGAGUACUAUGGUCCUUUAAAAUCCUUGCUGCUAAAAUCACCAGACGUCCAGCCAAUAUCUGCCUCAGCUGCUUACAUUUUGGGUGAAAUAUGCCGAGAGAAAAAUGAUGCUGUUUUGCCCCUUGUCCGACUGCUGCUGCACCACGAUAAACUUGUUCCUUUUGCCACUGCGGUGGCUGAACUAGACUUGAAGGACAUACAAGAUGCUAACACCAUCUUUCGAGGAAACUCCUUGGCUACCCGGUGUCUGGAUGAAAUGAUGAAGAUAGUGGGAAGGCACUACCUGAAAGUGACAUUGAAACCUAUUCUGGACGAGAUAUGUGAAUCCUCUAAACCCUGUGAAAUCGAUCCUAUUAAAUUGAAAGAGGGAGAUAAUGUAGAAAACAACAAGGAGAAUCUGCGCUACUAUGUAGACAAACUAUUCAGUACAAUUAUAAAAUCCAGUAUGAGCUGCCCCACUGUAAUGUGUGAUAUCUUUUAUUCUCUAAGGCAAAUGGCCACACAGAAAUUCCCUAAUGACCCUCAUGUUCAAUACUCUGCAGUGAGCAGCUUUGUAUUUCUCCGUUUCUUUGCUGUAGCCGUAGUCUCACCUCAUACUUUUCAUUUGCGACCUCAUCAUCCAGAUGCACAGACAAUCAGAACAUUAACUCUCAUCUCAAAAACUAUUCAGACUUUGGGAAGCUGGGGGAGUCUGUCCAAAAGCAAGUCAAGUUUCAAAGAGACAUUCAUGUGUGAGUUCUUCAAGAUGUUUCAAGAAGAAGGAUAUAUUAUAGCAGUUAAAAAGUUCUUAGAUGAAAUUUCAUCUACUGAAACUAAAGAGUCCAGUGGAACAAGCGAGCCUGUGCACCUGAAAGAAGGUGAGAUGUAUAAAAGGGCUCAGGGAAGAACUCGGAUUGGAAAAAAGAAUUUCAAGAAACGGUGGUUCUGCCUGACGAGCAGAGAGCUCACCUACCACAAGCAGCCAGGUAGUAAAGAUGCAAUUUAUACAAUUCCAGUGAAAAAUAUUCUUGCUGUGGAAAAACUGGAAGAGAGCUCUUUCAACAAGAAAAAUAUGUUCCAGGUAAUCCACACAGAGAAACCACUCUACGUCCAGGCAAAUAACUGCGUAGAAGCCAAUGAGUGGAUAGAAGUACUCUGCAGGGUGAGCCGGUGCAAUCAGAACAGGCUCAGUGUUUACCAUCCUUCUGCGUAUCUCAGCGGAAUCUGGCUCUGCUGUCAGGAGACCAGUGAAAACACUCUAGGCUGCAAGCCAUGCACUGCGUAAGUUUCCUGCAGUAUAGCCACAUGAGGGAAUGCUACUCUGUCAGGAAGUGGCAUGAAGUCUUGACACAUGCUUCAACAUAGAUGCACCUUGAAAAUACGAUAAGGGAGGGAAGGAAGACACUCAGCUUCCGUCCCUGGCGCCAUCAUAAGCCAGAGCUGAGCAGUGCUCUGGAAAGGAGGGAAUAGAAUGAAACAGAAGCCUCUACAGGCACAUACCGUAUACUAAUAUUUAUAUAUAAAGUGCCCCGAAGAAGUCAGCCCUUAGAUGUAGAAAAUUAAUUAGUGUCUGCUACUCCGCAGGGGAAGAAGAACAGAAUGAAGAAUUGCUCACGGGCCCAGGGUUUCUUUCUUCAGGAUGAUGAAAAUAUUCCCAUAUAGUGAUUGCACAAGUAAAGGGGGGGUGGGAGGCAGUGUCUAAGUAGAUGCGCAAGCCUGAGGAAGCCAUCAAGGAAGUCAGGCUUAGCAGUCCCUUCCUCAUUUACGGAACAACCAUAGUUGCCCUAUAAAUAGAAGAAGUGAUUUUUUUUUUUUAUGAUGAAGCAUAUAAGUUAUGACAGUGAUUUCACUUUAAGAUCGCCCUGCUUCUGAUGAGAGCCACCUAAUGACCAGGCCUCUUUUGACCUCUUGUAAUUGACCGAACUGCCAGCUCAGUCGCUGGAGCAGGAGACUCUUAAUGACCUAGCAAAUAAGAAUGGCCUAGCAAAAAGGAACUCAGGUUCUUUUCUAUAUAGUUUCUGUAAUUUGGGCUUUUAAAAAAUUUUUUAAAAAAAGAUAAUUGUAUUUAUUUAUUAUUGGAUAGAGACAGAGAGAAAUUGAGAGGGGAGGAGGGGAUAGAGGGGGAGAAAGAUAGACACCUGCAACCCUGCUUCACCAAUUGUGAAGCUUUCCCCCUGCAGGUGGAGACCAGGGGCUUGAACCUGGAUCCUUGUACACUAUAAUGUGUACUUAACCAGGUGUGCCAUUGCCUGGCUUCUUUGUUUGUUUGUUUGUGGUUUUUUGUUUGUUUAUCUCAGACCAUCAAGUCUUGGGCAUUUUAACCAUGUAAAAUUUCUCUAAUUUCAUUUUUCAUCACAGAGGUAUCCCUGCAGACAUGCAGAUAAAUAUUGAUGAAGACAGAGAAAUAGAAAGAAUUUAUUCCCUUUUCACUCUCAGUUUACCCAAGCUGCAGAAAAUGGAAGAGGCUUGUGGAACCAUAGC
This is an RNA transcript of Erinaceus europaeus (western European hedgehog), 3514 nucleotides long. It is a transcript of the gene named RAS p21 protein activator 2, with no coding region annotated. NCBI's taxonomy places the organism in Eukaryota, Metazoa, Chordata, Mammalia, Eulipotyphla, Erinaceidae. The record is from RefSeq and is a predicted model, not a curated record. The transcript has 23 exons.